Molecule: long non-coding RNA, 554 nt
Filed under: Homo sapiens (human)
Lineage: Eukaryota; Metazoa; Chordata; Mammalia; Primates; Hominidae
Description: long intergenic non-protein coding RNA 882
Source: RNAcentral
GGCAGAAAAUGAAUCCAUGGAGAUUUUGACAAGACCCCUCUAAGCAAGAUCUAAAGACAACAUCAGAUGGAGUUGUCUGUGGAUUAUGAGGAUGCAGCAUUCAAGGUUCUAUCUUGGAAGCAGAGACUGUGCCCUCACCAGAUGCUGAACCUGCUGAGCACCCUGAUCUUCCACUUCACCUUCAUCAGAACUACUGGGGCUGUGGCUGAGAUGUCACAUGGCAGAUAGGAUCACAAAUUUCUGUUGUAUCUGGAUGGAGAUCAGCAGGAGGAUCUAUGGGUACUUCAAAGAGGACAUCCUCUCCUGAAGAACAGAAGAACCUGAAAUGUUUGGAGCCUAAGACUGCUGUGAUUGCACCUGCCAUCUUAUGCAGAAAUGACCUGAAGACAGACUGAAACAACGUGUUCUACAGCCUGAAAAUAUCUACCUUGACUUACAGUUUUAUUAAUGCUGGUGUGAUCAGACUGGACAAAAAUUAGCAUAUGUUAUUAACUGAUCUAAUUCAAGUGCCAAUUCUUAAUAGAAACACAAAACAAUAAAAGCAAUUCAGAAAA